This 97-nucleotide signal recognition particle RNA is filed under the name Rhizobium leguminosarum. RNAcentral describes it as "small signal recognition particle RNA". It matches the Rfam family "Bacterial small signal recognition particle RNA". From Rfam's summary of the family: The signal recognition particle (SRP) is a universally conserved ribonucleoprotein involved in the co-translational targeting of proteins to membranes. Archaeal SRP consists of a 7S RNA and homologues of the eukaryotic SRP19 and SRP54 proteins. The record is from RNAcentral. Lineage: Bacteria; Pseudomonadati; Pseudomonadota; Alphaproteobacteria; Hyphomicrobiales; Rhizobiaceae.
GGAGGUUGGUGGUGGACGAGCCACUCGCCAACCGGGUCAGGUCCGGAAGGAAGCAGCCCUAACGAGCCCGGCAUGGGUCAUCGUGCCAGCCUCCCAC